This 702-nucleotide long non-coding RNA is filed under the name Prunus dulcis (almond). RNAcentral describes it as "sRNA ncRNA". Lineage: Eukaryota; Viridiplantae; Streptophyta; Magnoliopsida; Rosales; Rosaceae. The record is from RNAcentral.
UGCAACCUGAAAACCACAUAGCAAUUUUAUAUAUAAUCAACUGCAAAUAUUCAUUUCCAAAAGUAAAGAGAUAUACAACUUCACGCCCAGCGCAAAUUCAUGACCAAUUGGAACCACAUUUCUUAACAUAAUCAUAAAUAAACCCUAACCCUAAACCCACUACAUACUACCAAAAGCAAAACAACAGAUUUGGGGAUUCUAAGCCCUCUCGCCCCUGAUCCUGCGAGCGAGCUGAAUGUCCUUGGGCAUAAUGGUGACCCUCUUAGCGUGAAUGGCACAGAGAUUGGUGUCCUCAAACAGACCCACCAAGUAGGCCUCCGCCGCCUCUUGCAGCGCCGCCACGGCGCUGCUCUGGAACCGGAGAUCGGUCUUGAAGUCCUGAGCAAUCUCCCUCACAAGCCUCUGAAAUGGAAGCUUGCGGAUCAAGAGCUCAGUGCUCUUCUGGUACUUUCUGAUCUCCCUCAGGGCCACAGUUCCUGGCCUGAAACGGUGAGGCUUCUUCACUCCUCCGGUAGCCGGAGCUGACUUCCGGGCAGCCUUUGUGGCCAGCUGCUUGCGUGGAGCCUUGCCUCCGGUGGACUUACGAGCAGUCUGCUUGGUACGGGCCAUUUUCUCAGAUGUGAAAGAAUGGAGGAUUUGGGUGUUUGGCUAGUGGGAAAUUGAGAGAGAAGUACUAUAUGAACUUGUGAUUUGGGAAGUUUU